CAGUAGCCGCGGUAAUACGUAGGUGGCAAGCGUUGUCCGGAAUUAUUGGGCGUAAAAGGCGCGCAGGCGGUUUCUUAAGUCUGAUGUGAAAGCCCCCGGCUCAACCGGGGAGGGUCAUUGGAAACUGGGAAACUUGAGUGCAGAAGAGGAGAGUGGAAUUCCACGUGUAGCGGUGAAAUGCGUAGAGAUGUGGAGGAACACCAGUGGCGAAGGCGACUCUCUGGUCUGUAACUGACGCUGAGGAGCGAAAGCGUGGGGAGCGAACAGGAUUAGAUACCCGAGUAUUCCCUGUCUCUUAUAC
RNAcentral lists this ribosomal RNA (301 nucleotides) under uncultured bacterium. Its description in RNAcentral is "partial 16S ribosomal RNA". It matches the Rfam family "Bacterial small subunit ribosomal RNA", at positions 509 to 807 of the family's 1533-position model. The record is from RNAcentral.